Pyrus x bretschneideri (Chinese white pear) is the source of this 407-nucleotide long non-coding RNA. RefSeq lists it as uncharacterized. The transcript has 3 exons. Lineage: Eukaryota; Viridiplantae; Streptophyta; Magnoliopsida; Rosales; Rosaceae. The record is from RefSeq and is a predicted model, not a curated record.
UCCAAAUUGAGUUCUGAAAAUUGUCACGUGUUCGUGACGUCGUGUAGAUCAUCGUGGUGAAAAUUAUACAGACGAAGAACGUAACCAAUCUAGGCGAGGAGGUUACGAACCGGCUACUUAUCAGUUCUAGGUAGCGUAUAUCGGUGAGUCUCGAGGUGUCCAGCUGAAAGUUCUGACAAACCACCACUCAUGUAGGAUCAUCGUCGAGUGUUGUUAAAUAUGUACAUCUUAUGUUUGACUGCACUUAGACUUUGUGCUCUGGUUGUGUAAUCACACUUAAACUUUCUUUAGAACCUAUCGUAUUUGGUUUUAAUUAGUCGUACUUUUCUUAUAAAAUAUCGCUUCCGCACAGCGCACAUGGCUACGUCACGCUCACGUGACGGCCAGCAUGCCUUGACUUCGGUCGG